UACGAAGGGGGCUAGCGUUGUUCGGAAUUACUGGGCGUAAAGCGCACUUAGGCGGACUUGUAAGUCAGGGGUGAAAUCCCGGGGCUCAACCCCGGAACUGCCUUUGAUACUGCAAGUCUAGAGGUCGAGAGAGGUGAGUGGAAUUCCGAGUGUAGAGGUGAAAUUCGUAGAUAUUCGGAGGAACACCAGUGGCGAAGGCGGCUCACGGGCUCGAUAGUGACGCUGAGGUGCGAAAGCGUGGGGAGCAAACAGG
Molecule: ribosomal RNA, 253 nt
Filed under: uncultured bacterium
Lineage: Bacteria
Description: partial 16S ribosomal RNA
Rfam family: Bacterial small subunit ribosomal RNA
Source: RNAcentral